UCCAGACUCCUACGGGAGGCAGCAGUCGAGCCUCCCUCACAAUGUUUUCCACCCUGAUUUCGCGACGCCGCGUCCUCGCAUGAAGGCCUUCGCAUUGUAACCACCUGUCAUGUGGGACCAAAUUAAAACCACAGUACCACAAGAGGAAGAGACGGCUAACUCUGUGCCAGCAGCCGCGGUAAUACAGAGGUCUCAAGCGUUGUUCGGAAUCACUGGGCGUAAAGCGUGCGUAGGCUGUUUCGUAAGUCGUGUGUGAAAGGCGCGGGCUCAACCCGCGGACGGCACAUGAUACUGCGAGACUAGAGUAAUGGAGGGGGAACCGGAAUUCUCGGUGUAGCAGUGAAAUGCGUAGAUAUCGAGAGGAACACUCGUGGCGAAGGCGGGUUCCUGGACAUUAACUGACGCUGAGGCGCGAAGGCCAGGGGAGCGAAAGGGAUUAGAUACCCUGGUAU
RNAcentral lists this ribosomal RNA (452 nucleotides) under uncultured bacterium. RNAcentral's name for it is "bacterial SSU rRNA". It matches the Rfam family "Bacterial small subunit ribosomal RNA", at positions 330 to 793 of the family's 1533-position model. The record is from RNAcentral.